CAGUAGCCGCGGGAACACGUAGGGUGCAAGCGUUAAUCGGAAUUACUGGGCGUAAAGCGUGCGCAGGCGGUUUGUUAAGACAGAUGUGAAAUCCCCGGGCUCAACCUGGGAACUGCAUUUGUGACUGGCAAGCUAGAGUGUGGCAGAGGGGGGUGGAAUUCCGCGUGUAGCAGUGAAAUGCGUAGAUAUGCGGAGGAACACCGAUGGCGAAGGCAGCCCCCUGGGCCAACACUGACGCUCAUGCACGAAAGCGUGGGGAGCAAACAGGAUUAGAUACCCCGGUAGUCCCUGUCUCUUAUAC
This 301-nucleotide ribosomal RNA is filed under the name uncultured bacterium. RNAcentral's name for it is "partial 16S ribosomal RNA". It matches the Rfam family "Bacterial small subunit ribosomal RNA", at positions 509 to 807 of the family's 1533-position model. The record is from RNAcentral.